AACGAACGCUGGCGGCAUGCCUAACACAUGCGAGUCGAACGAGACCUUCGGGUCUAGUGGCGCACGGGUGCGUAACGCGUGGGAACCUGCCCUUAGGUUCGGAAUAACUCCCCGAAAGGGGUGCUAAUACCGGAUAAUGUCUUCGGACCAAAGAUUUAUCGCCUUUGGAUGGGCCCGCGUUGGAUUAGCUAGUUGGUAGGGUAAAAGCCUACCAAGGCGACGAUCCAUAGCUGGUCUGAGAGGAUGAUCAGCCACACUGGGACUGAGACACGGCCCAGACUCCUACGGGAGGCAGCAGUGGGGAAUAUUGGACCAUGGGCGAAAGCCUGAUCCAGCAAUGCCGCGUGAGUGAUGAAGGCCUUAGGGUUGUAAAGCUCUUUUACCCGGGAUGAUAAUGACAGUACCGGGAGAAUAAGCUCCGGCUAACUCCGUG
Molecule: ribosomal RNA, 433 nt
Filed under: uncultured bacterium
Lineage: Bacteria
Description: partial 16S ribosomal RNA
Rfam family: Bacterial small subunit ribosomal RNA
Source: RNAcentral